This is a non-coding RNA of Pelobates cultripes (western spadefoot toad), 8217 nucleotides long. The record is from the annotation of a GenBank genome assembly. Lineage: Eukaryota; Metazoa; Chordata; Amphibia; Anura; Pelobatidae.
GGAGCAUGGACUGGUAGAGGGCCCAACGCCCAACAACCUAGGGCAGCAACUGGAUCCCAGGUAGGAAACAGGAGGGUGGCUGAAAUUGUAUAUUUUCCGUGUGUGUCUGUUUGUGUGUGUAUAGCUGUUUGCAUGUGUAUCAGUCUGUGUGUGUGUCUGUAUGUAUAUCUCUCUGUAUGUGUAUAUGCAUGUGUCUGUUUAUCUGUGUGUAUGUAUGUGUAUCUGUCUGUAUUUGUAUCUGUGUAUAUGUCUAUGUGUAUCUGUGUGUCUCUAUCCUUCUAUAUGUGUAUCUGUAUGUGUCUCUGUAUGCAUAUUUGUGUGUGUUUCUACCUGUACGUGUGUCUAUAUGUGUGUCGGUGUGUGCCCCUCUGUAUCUGUGUGUGUCAAUGUUUGCAUCUAUAUGAGUGUCAUCCUGUGUAUCUAAAUGUUUGUCAUUAAGUGUGUCUGUGUACCUGCAUGUAUGUCAGUGUGUCUGUAUGUGUAUCUCUGUGUCUGUAUGUGUGUCUGUGAAUCUGCAUGUGUGUCAGUGUGUGCCCCUGUGUAUCUGUCCGUGUCUUUUUAUCUGUAUGUGUGUUAGUGUGUGUCUAUGUAACUGCAUGGUUGUCCGUGUAUGUAUCUAUAUGUGUGUUAUUGUGUGUCAGGGUGUAUUUAUAUGUGUGUGUGUCUGCAUGUUUGUCAGUGAGUGUAUCUGUGUAUCUGUAUGUGUGCAAGUGUGUAUCUGUGUAUGCACCUCUGUGUCUGUGUAUCUGUCAUUGGAUAUAUGUACCUGUGUAUGUCUGUACGUGUGUCAGUGUGUGUAUUUUCUCUAGUUGAAAAAUAAGUGUGGCUAAGUCUACGAUCUGUGUGUGUGUGUUUUUUUGUGUGUUUUCUUUAUGUGUGUCUUUGGGUGGAAGGCGUGUUUGCAUGCUACAAGGUGGGAGGGAGGGGACCAGGGGGCCCAAGUUUUCCCAGGGUCCAAUCAACAUUAAAGACGGCCCUGAUCACAGGUGUUCUUUCAGAAAUCUAUAUCUAUCAGAACACCGGCGGGAAGGCAACAGUUUAACGCAAGUAAAUUAGCUGGAAUAAAUGCUGAAUGGUAUCGGGUACUACCAAGGUCACAUUGUACAGAGAAGCAGGAAACUCAAAUUAGUAGGAACUGUUGUGAUGGUAACGGCUACUUUCCAUCCUGCUAAACGACCUUUGAUGUAGCUGGAUGCAUGUGCUUACGAAGGUUACACGGUACGGAGAAAAGCAGCACAAGGAAAACUCAAAUCAGUUAACCCCUUAGUGACAAGACCGUUCUUCAGUUUUCUUACCGUUAAGGACCAGGGCUCCUUUUACAUUUCUGCGGUGUUUGUGUUUAGCUGUAAUUUUCCUCUCACUCAUUUACAGUAUAUAUAUUUCUCUCCAUUAAAUGAUCUUUAUAAAGAUACCAUUAUUUUCAUCAUAUCAUAUAUUUUACUAUAAUAUUUUUUUAUAAAAUAUGAUAAAAAAAACACACACUUUUUCUAACUUUGACCUUCAAAAUCUUUUACACAUCUACAACCGCCAAAAAACACCUGUGCUAAAUAGUUUUAAAAUUUUCUCCUGAGUUUAGAAAUACCCAAUAUUAACAUGUUCUUAGCUUUUUUGGGAAAGUUAUAGGGCUAUAAGUACAAGUAGCACGUUGCUAUUUCCAAACCAUUUUUUUUUUUUCAAAAUUAAUACAGGUUACAAUGUAACACUGAUAUCUGUCAGGAAUCCCUGAAUAACCCUUCAGAUAUAUAUAUUUUUUAAAAGAAGACAACCUAAGGUAUUAAACUUGUGGUGUUUUGACUCUUUUCAUGCAGCUAUGUUACCAUCAAUGUAUGCCACAUUAAAAAAUUAAUAAUAAUUGGUGAUUUGUUUGACACACAUAGCAAUUUAAGAAUAUAUGUACGGAGAACUUUAUUUGGAGGGUGCGCAUUCCAGUUUUCCAACUUGGAAUUUUCUCAGCUGGUCAUCAUGCACCCAUGUCCUAUUUUGAACAUUUUAGAAGGCGGCGAAUGUAAAUUACCCCAAUCAAACCAUAUAUUUUUGAAAAGUAGACACCCUAGGCUAUUUCAAAUGGUGGUAUUUUAACACUUUCCAUGCACUAAUUCUACCACCAGUCUUUUUCAAACUUUGGGUAGUCAUUUUUUUGUGUUAUUUUUCUUUUCACAUUGUACUUUAGGCAUGGAUUCUCAGUUCCUGUUAUGUGUUACUGACAAAGAACACCCCAAUAUGUGUUCAGCAACAUCUCCCGAGUACAACAGUGCCCCCAAUGUAUAGGUUUUAUAUAUAAAAUAUAUGCUACAUUCGCAAGAUUUAUUUAUGGCACUGUUAUAAUUCAUAUUAUUAAUAUAUAUUUGGGCCAGUAAGUGAAUGAAUAGCAGCUUUCUCUAUACAUUACUUUAUUACAGCAUAGUUGUAAUUAAUGCCUAGGGCAUCUGUAUGCCUUUACAUAUGCCAGUAGACAAAUGGUUAAUUUACACCUCUUUAGUAUGCGCCGUUUAUAACACGGUCCAGUGCCCGCUAGUAAUGUAACCUAUCCCCUCCUCAGUUUUGAACAGUGAGACAUCCAAAUAUUGGAUGCUGUUGGCAUCAUAAGUCAGCGUGAGUUUUAUAGGUAGCGGUAGGGAAUUUUUAUUUAUUUUCUAUGUAUUAUACAAUUUUGGGCUGUAGUCCAUAUGGUGCUUUCGGAUUAGUACCAACUAUUUACAUGUUUAAUACUAUUAUCUGAAUGUAGUGAGUAACAGUCACUCUAGUAGGUAAUAACAAGUUAAUUGUAAGUGAAUGCCGUUUGCCAUAUUUCUACGAUUUUGAAUAGUAUCGACAAAACAGACACUUCUGGUAUUCGAGUAGAAUAGGUCACUUUAUUGUGUAAUCUUGUUUUUUUUUUUUUAUUACUAUUGUUAUUUUCAUUAAUUGAUUGGGAAGACAGCAGCUUCCCUAGUAUGAGCUGUUUAUAACAUAUUAGCUGGUAUCGGCUAAAUCUGUAGAGAGUAUCCAUACACUUGUUAGGCACAUAUUCAAUAAUAUAGAUUUUGUCCAGAAUAAUGUGUAUAGUGUUUGUUAGAUGACAUAAGAUACUAUGUUUAAGUUGGCAUUCAUGGGUUUGCUAGAUAUACCUGUGACAAAAGUUACCAGGUUCCUGCCUCAUGACUAUAGGCCCUGCAAUAUACCUUGCCCAAUGCACUUUAAAAUACUCUGUUCCUGUGAAGUAUGUACACUUGUACUCCAGACAAAGAGACCGGUAGCCCUAAUUCUCUGGAACUUUUUUGGGCAUGGGACCAUGUGCACAGUGGGUCAAAAAAAGACUUCCAGGAAUUUCCUGAACCCCUGCUCUGAUCUGGGUGAUUUUGGAUAUGUUGUUCACCCAGAUAUGGUCUAUCAGUGGAUGUGGGGAUAUGUUAUGUUUUGGGGUACUUAUUGGACUUUGUAAAAAUUAGUUUUUUCUGCCUGCAGAUAAUUGAGUUACUUACAGGACUUUUAAAACAAAAACUGGCAUUUUACUGGUGAUAUCAUCGUUGUGAUAAGUUUCACUGUGUUGAAAAACUCAUAUUUGUAUUCAGCAAAGUCUCCUGAGUAUAACAAAACCCCCUAUGUUCACAUUUUAUGGUGUUUUGAAGAGUUACAGGGUCAAUUAGACAUGUGCAAUUCUUUCGGUCCGAAUGUUAAUUCGGAUAAAUUUCGGGUACUUCCGAAUGUCCGAAUAGAUGAAUUGCCGAAGUUGCCGAAGGCUUAUAAAGCCUUGCCCUGCCCUGCAAUUAGGCUCAGAGCACUCUGAUUGGUGGGUUUAAGCCAUCCAAUCAGAGUGCUCUGACAGGUAAAUGAAGAGACUGACAGGUAAGUCAUUUAUCUGUCACAGCACUCUGAUUGGUUGGCUUGAAAUCCACCAAUCAGAGUGCUCUGUGUCAUUUUACACAGCGUGGGAAAGGUCUUUGGAAUUUUUCCAUGCUGUGUAAUUUGACUCGUAACACUGAUCGGUGGAUUAAGUAACCAAUCAGAGAGUUAUGAGUCAAACCCACCAAUCAGAGUGCUCUGAGCCUAAUUGCAGGGCGGGGCAAGGCUUUAUAUGCCUUCCCCCGCCCUGCAGAGCUCAGUCUGCACGGAGCCCUCCAUAGGUGAAGGAGGAUUGGGGUUUUUUUGCGCUCGUUUUUUGCUUCGGUUAUUAUGGAUUUUUAUUUGGCCUUUUUUGGGGCUGAAAAAAGAAGAUUUUAGAAGAAAGAAAACAUCAAAUAGUAAGUUUAAUUUAAAUUUUUUUACAGGUGCCCCCUUCAUUAUUUUUAGGGUGAGGGGGAUAGGUAGGGGUUAGUUUUUUUUUGGGAGGGGGUGACUAGGGUUUGGGGGACCCCUAGUCACCUGGGGGGGUAAAUAUUUAUUUAGGGCCCCCACCCGCCACUCAGGGGUGAGACAAUAGGUCCCCCAUUGGUAUUCAGGGCCCCCACCCACCAGUCAGGGCUGAGGACAUUAGGUCCCCCCUUUAAGUAUUUAGGGCCCCUGUUCUAUCAAAUUUCCCUACCCCGUUAGAAAACCCUACCCGCGUCACUUCCGGUGACGAAGCCGCACCGGAAGUGACGUUGGGACGGGGGUGUGCGCUGCCGCGCAGGCGCACACAACCGAGGUAGGGAUUUUUCACUUUGAGGAGAGACCCUGAAGGCAUAGUGCGCACGCGCGGCACAGUACUCCCGUCGGAGGUACAGCGCGCGUGCGCACUUGGGGACAUGGAGCGCUUCACACACCGCGCAUGCGCAGUAUAGGGGUAGGGAAAUCUGAUGGCCAUUAAGCCGUGUGAAAUCUCCCUACCUCUAUACUGCGCAUGCGCGGACUCUGAUCGUGUGGGUAAAGCCUUUUCUGGGAUUAGGUCAGUCUCUCCCUGCUCCCAACACUCUCAGCCAUCCGAGGGGAGGGGGUACUAUAUUAGGGGGGUUUCAGUGCAUUAUAUUGGGGAGUGGGGUUUUUUAGUACAUUAUUAUGGGGGGGGGGUCUGCCCUGUAUGGGGGUCUGCGCUGUAGGGGGUCUGGCGCUGUAUGGGGGGUCUGCGCUGUAGGGGGGGUCUGGCGCCUAUGUGGGGGGUCUGCUGUAUGGGGGGAGCGUCUAUAGGGGCUAUAUAUGGGGGUCUGCGCUGUAUAGGGGAGUCUGCGCUGGAUAGGGGGUCUGCGCUGUAUAGGGUCUGGCGCUAUAUAUGGGGCGCCUCGCUGUAUGGGGGUCGGUAGGGGGAGUCUGCGCCAUAGAGGGGUCUGUGCUGUAUGGGGAGUCUGCGCCAUAUAUGGGGGUCUAAUGGGGGGUCUGUAUAGGGUCUGGGCUUGUAUGGGGGUCUGCACUGUAUAGGGAUGGUCUAGCUGUAUAGGGGUGGUCUAAGCUGUAUGGGGGUCGCUUAAGGGGUCUGCUGUAUAGGGUCUAUAUAUAUGGGGGUCUGGCGCUUAUAUAUGCUGUAUAGGGGUCCUAUAUAUGGGGGUCUGUAUAUGGGGGUCUGCUUGUAUGGGGGGUCUGCGCUCAUGCUAUAGGGUCUGGCGCUGUAUAGGGGGUCUGCGCUGUAUGGGGGCCUGGCGCUGUACAGGGGGCUGCGCUUAUAUAGGGGGUCUGCGCCAUGUAGGGGGGUCUGCUUAUAUAUGGGGGUCUGCGCUGUAUAGGAGGGGUCUGCGCUGUAUAGGAGGGGUCUGCGCUGUAUAGGGGGGUCUGCGCUGUAUAUGGGGGGUCUGUGCAGUAUAUGGGGGUCUGCACUGUAUAUGGGGGGCUGCGCAGUAUAUUGUGGGGUCUGUGAAGUAUAUUGGGGUGGCCUGUGUGUUAGAUGGAGGGGCUGUUUGUUACAUGUGGGGGGGCAGUGUAUUAUAUUUGGGGGCUGUGCGUUAGAUGGGGAGCUGUACAGUACGUGUGGCCUGUGUGUUAGAUUUGUACAACCCUAGUUUCACAGAAAAAUAUUUAUUUCCUAGAUAUCAUAUGCCAUGGCAUGCUUUUUGCUAUGAAACCGCAGCCAUCUAGUCACUCGCCAGAGAAGGAUGAGAAACUGCACCCCAGCGAGAGGGACAGCCCCACAUCUACAACCAAAUCCGUCGGUCACUGAAUUCAGUAAUCUCCGUCUCUUUGUGCAUUGUGUAUGUAUGGUACUCCCAAUUCUUAUAUUUAAUCCGGUGUGUCUCCCACAAUCUUUGUAUCUGUCUGCUGUAUGUAUGUGGCACGCAAGUCUGCAUGCACUGUGUCUGUUAUGCCAGUUACUCUAACCAGUUUAUUUCUUUUUGUGUGUGUCACAGCUCUGACAAGCAUGUUCUCCUAUGGGACACGAAGUACAUGAAGAGGAAUGAAGAAGCCCAUGUUUGAUGCUCGUUUCCAGGGUGGAGUAUUGAAUUUAUAACUAAUGAAGUGGCAUCUGACACAUGACAAGCUGCUCCUGUUUGCACAGCAACUUCAACAUUGUGUACUGUGAUCACGGCAUAGUUCAGAGGUAGGUAACCUUGGGCAGUCCAGAUGCUGUGAAUUACAUCUCCAUAAUGCUGGCAAACCAUCAUGGGAGGUGUAGUGCAAAACAUCUGGAAUACCAGGAUGGCACAUCAAUGUGAGCUGUGGCAAGAAGGUUUGCUGUGUCUGUCAGCGUAGUGUCCAGAGCAUGGAGGCGCUACCAGGAGACAGGCCAGUACAUUAGGAGAAGUGGAGGAGGCCGUAGGAGGGCAACAACCCAGCAGCAGGAAUGCUACCUCCGCCUUUGUGCAAGGAGGAACAGGAGGAGCACUGCCCUGCAAAAUGACCUCCAGCAGGCCACAAAUGUGCAUGUGUCUGCUCAAACGGUCAGAAACAGACUCCAUGAGGGUAAUAUGAGGGCCCGACGUCCACAGGGGGAAGUUGUGCUUACAGCCCAACACCAUGCAGGACGUUUGGCAUUUGCCAGAGAACACCAAGAUUGGCAAAUUCGCCACUCACUCCCUGUGCUCUUCACAGAUGAAAGCAGAUUCACACUGAGCACAUGUGACAGACGUGACAGAGUCUGGAGACGCCGUGGAGAACUUUCUGAUGCCUGCAACAUCCUCCAGCAUGACCGGUUUGGCAGUGGGUCAGUAAUGGUGUGGGUGGCAUUUCUUUGGGGGGCCGCACAACCCUCCAUGUGCUCGCCUGACUGCCAUUAGGUCCAGAGAUGAGAUCCUCAGACCCCUUGUGAGACCAUAUGCUGGUGCGGUUGGCCCUGGGUUCCUGCUAAUGCAAGACAAUGCUAGACCUCAUGUGGCUGGAGUGUGUCAGCAGUUCCUGCAAGACGAAGGCAUUGAUGCUAUGGACUGGCCUGCCCGUUCCCCAGACCUGAAUCCAAUUGAGCACAUCUGGGACAUAAUGUCUCGCUCCAUCCACCAACGUCACGUUGCACCACAGACUGUCUAGGAGUUGGUAGAUGCUUUAGUCCAGGACUGGGAGGAGAUACCUUAGGAGACCAUCCGCCACCUCAUCAGGAGCAAGCAUAGGUGUUGUAGGGAGGUCAUACAGGCACGAAGGAGGACACACACUACAACUGAGCCUCAUUUUGACUUGUUUUAAGGACAUUACAUCAAAGUUGGAUCAGCCUGUAGUGUGUUUUUCCACUUUAAUUUUGAGCGUGACUCCAAAUCCAGACCUCCAUGGGUUGAAAAAUUAGAUUUCCAUUUUUUAACUUUUGUGUGAUUUUGUUGUCAGCACAUUCAACUAUGUAAAGAACAAAGUAUUUCAGAAGAAUAUUUAAUUCAUUUAGAUCUAGGAUGUGUUAUUUUUGUGUUCCCUCCCAUACAUAUUGUUACGGUUGCCUCCAGGCUGGCUGGAAGUUGGACCGUAGAAAGGAUGCUCCUAGCGCUCACCGAAGGACCAUCAGCACCGUAAACACUAUAAGCACUGCAGACUCCACAAACCGCCGAUGCUGGGCUGGGAUCCCGCCGUCUGCUUUCCACCCUGGACAUACGACCAGGCUCCAGGUUCCAGUAGGUGAACCUCUUCCUUCUGUAGAGCGAAGCAGGAUCAGGAACAAGAGCUCUUACAAAAGCUCUUGCUAAGGGAGUAUGAAGAGCAUAGCAAUCCCUGUAGUGAUUAUAGCUGUCCCCUACAAACAUGAGUCGAGGCUGCAAGUUAGAGGGUCAAGUAGUUCUGUUUAAUUGGCACCAAAAGGCCUUCUUUUAUGGAGGUCUUACACAUACAAGACCGCCUACAGGGUUUUACAGAACAACUAAUAAACACGUAACAUACAGUAAAAACACACCCAUCAAUAACACACAAAUCCUCCCCUCUGCC